AGCGAACGCUGGCGGCAGGCUUAACACAUGCAAGUCGAGCGGACCUUUCGGGGUCAGCGGCGGACGGGUGAGUAACGCGUGGGAACGUGCCUUCCGGUUCGGAAUAACCCUGGGAAACUAGGGCUAAUACCGGAUACGCCCUUACGUGGAAAGGUUUACUGCCGGAAGAUCGGCCCGCGUCUGAUUAGCUAGUUGGUGGGGUAACGGCCUACCACGGCUACGAUAAGUAGCUGGUCUGAGAGGAUGAUCCGCGACACUGGGAGGGAGACACGGCCGAGAAUCUUACGCGAGGGAGGAGAGGGGAAUAUUGGAAAACGGGGGGAAGCAUGAAGCAGCCAGGACGGGUGAGUGCUGAAGGCCUUAGGGUUGUAAAGCAAGUUUAUACGGGACGAUAAUGACGGUACCGGAAGAAUAAGCCCCGGCUAACUUCGUG
This 433-nucleotide ribosomal RNA is filed under the name uncultured bacterium. RNAcentral's name for it is "partial 16S ribosomal RNA". It matches the Rfam family "Bacterial small subunit ribosomal RNA", at positions 30 to 507 of the family's 1533-position model. The record is from RNAcentral.